RNAcentral lists this ribosomal RNA (469 nucleotides) under uncultured bacterium. Its description in RNAcentral is "partial 16S ribosomal RNA". It matches the Rfam family "Bacterial small subunit ribosomal RNA", at positions 28 to 507 of the family's 1533-position model. The record is from RNAcentral.
GACGAACGCUGGCGGCGUGCUUAACACAUGCAAGUCGAACGGAAAGGCCCUGCUUUUGUGGGGUGCUCGAGUGGCGAACGUGUGAGUAACACGUGAGUAACCUGCCCUUGUUCUUGGGAUAACUUCAGGAAUCUGGGGCAAAUACCGGAUAGGAGCUCCUGCUUCAUGGUGGGGGUUGGAUAUUUUUGGCGGUUUGGGGUGGACUUGCGGGUUAUCAGUUUGUUGGUGGGGGAACUGCUUACCAAGGCUUUGAUGGGUAGCCGGCCUGGGGGGGUGGACCGGCACAGUUGGACUGAGGUUAGGCCCAGAAGCCUACCGGGGGAAACCGUGGGGAAAAAUGGCCCAUGGGCGGGAGGCUGGUGGAGGGAAGGCGCGUGGGGGGUUGCGGGCCUUCGGUUGGAAACCCCUUUCCGCCUGUAAGAAGCCUUUAGUGACGGUAACGGGUUAAGAAGCACCGGCUAACUACGUG